GAUGAAGAACGCAGCGAAAUGCGAUAAGUAAUGUGAAUUGCAGAAUUCAGUGAAUCAUCGAAUCUUUGAACGCACCUUGCGCCCUUUGGCUAUUCCGAAGGGCAUGCCUGUUUGAGUAUCAUGAACACCUCAACUCUUUAUGGUUUUCCAUGAUGAGCUUGGACUCUGGGGGUUUUGCUGGCUCACAGUCGGCUCCUCUAAAAUGAAUCAGCUUACCAGUGUUUGGUGGGUAUCAUGGGUGUGAUAACUAUCUACGCUUGUGGUUUUUCCACCAGGUAACCUUCAGCAGUGGAGGUUCGCUGGAGCUCAUAGAUGUCUCUCCUCAGUGAGGACAGCCCUUUGAAUGUUUGAUCUCAAAUCAGGUAGGACUACCCGCUGAACUUAAGCAUAUCAAUAAGCGGAGGA
RNAcentral lists this unclassified non-coding RNA (405 nucleotides) under soil metagenome. RNAcentral's name for it is "partial contains 5.8S ribosomal RNA, internal transcribed spacer 2, and large subunit ribosomal RNA". The stretch from base 1 to 121 matches the Rfam family "5.8S ribosomal RNA", at positions 35 to 154 of the family's 154-position model. The record is from RNAcentral.